CUGGCUGUUGGACUGGGGCCUGCUGUUGGGCUGCUGGAAAUGGGCCUGCUUCUUCCUUUUUUUUCUGCUCUUUUCUUUCUUUUUUUUGCUUAAUUUUUUUGGGGGGCUGGGGCUGCUGCUGGGUUUCUUGGGUCGCGAGUCGCGGGUCGGAUCGUGUCGGGUCGGGUCGACCUGAUUGUGUUAAAAAUCUUUUUUUUUUUCUUUCCUUUCUUCUUCCUCUUCUUCUUCCUCCUUCCUCUUCACGCCUUAGUUGCACCGCCGCCACUUGCCGCCGUUCGUACCGCCACCGGAGCAGGUGGCUAGGGAGGAGGGAGGCCAUGCCUUAGGCCGGCGGCCGGAAAAUCGGGGAGUAGGUGCGCAAAUCGCGUUUGGCUGCUAGAAGGACCAGAUUGCAAACGUAGCAACACUUCUGAGGCCAAAACAUAAUUUCGAGAAAAUUUAGGGGUCAUAAUGUAAUUUAAAAAAGUUUAUGGGUCAAAAUGUAAUUUCGGAAAAGUUUAGGGGUCAAAAUAUAAUUUUAGGAAAAUUUAGGGGUCAAAAUGAAAUUUCAAAAAGUUUAGGAGCCAAAAUGUAAUUUUCUAUUUUUUGUAUUUUUUUUUGAAUUUUUUUUUUUAAAACACGAAAUCGAGCCAGACAAAAUUCAGUGAUUACAGUAAUUACUUAAGAAACUGAAGCCAUAACAGACUAAUUUUCUCGUAUGUAUGUAUGUACAUUUAGGGUUCAUUAUUGACUUACCUUUUUCGCGUAUUAGUGGCACUGUUGUCAUCGCCUUCAAUUUGAAAGAUACUGAAUUUGUUUUGAAAA
This is a long non-coding RNA of Gossypium raimondii (Peruvian cotton), 804 nucleotides long. RefSeq lists it as uncharacterized. The record is from RefSeq and is a predicted model, not a curated record. The transcript is spliced from 2 exons. NCBI's taxonomy places the organism in Eukaryota, Viridiplantae, Streptophyta, Magnoliopsida, Malvales, Malvaceae.